AAGUCGUAACAAGGCUUCCGUAGGUGAACCUGCGGAAGGAUCAUUAAUGUAACCGGACCGGUCCUUUGCCGUAAAACGCACCGGAUUGGAAAGGGAGAUAUCAUACACCCUGUGUUUAUUUACCUUUGUUGCUUUGGCGGGCCGUCCUUUAGGCGUCGGCCCCGGCUGAUCGCGCCCGCCAGAGGACCCAAACUCUUUUAUCAGUGAUGUCUGAGUACUAUAUAAUAGUUAAAACUUUCAACAACGGAUCUCUUGGUUCUGGCAUCGAUGAAGAACGCAGCGAAAUGCGAUAAGUAAUGUGAAUUGCAGAAUUCAGUGAAUCAUCGAAUCUUUGAACGCACAUUGCGCCCGCUGGUAUUCCGGCGGGCAUGCCUGUUCGAGCGUCAUUAUGACCAAUCAAGCUCUGCUUGGCCUUGGGGCCCGCUGUACCGGCGGCCCUUAAAAUUAGUGGCGGUGCCGUCUGGGUCUAAGCGUAGUAAUACUUCUCGCUAUAGGGUCCAGUCGUUUACCCGCCAGAACCCCCAACUUUCUUAGGUUGACCUCGGAUCAGGUAGGGAUACCCGCUGAACUUAA
Molecule: ribosomal RNA, 573 nt
Filed under: uncultured fungus
Lineage: Eukaryota; Fungi
Description: eukaryotic LSU rRNA
Rfam family: 5.8S ribosomal RNA (bases 233-386)
Source: RNAcentral